AUGAACGCUGACAGAAUGCUUAACACAUGCAAGUCAUUGGCGAAGCUGCGCUUGCGCAGUCUAGCCAAGGCGGACGGGUGAGUAACGCGUAAGGAACUUGCCCUGCAGACAGGGAUAACAGACGGAAACGACUGAUAACACCUGGUAUUGUCAGGCUGGCGCAUGCCGGCCUGAUGAAAGGAGACGCUGCAGGAGAGCCUUGCGUCCUAUUAGCUAGUUGGUGGGGUAACGGCCCACCAAGGCGAUGAUAGGUAGCCGGCCUGAGAGGGUGAACGGCCACAAGGGGACUGAGAUACGGCCCUUACUCCUACGGGAGGCGGCAGUGGGGAAUAUUGAACAAUGGGGGCAACCCUGAUCCAGCAAUUCUGUGUGCACGAAGAAGGUUUUCGGAUUGUAAAGUGCUUUCAGCAGGGAAGAAGAAAGUGACGGUACCUGCAGAAGAAGCGACGGCUAAAUACGUG
This 461-nucleotide ribosomal RNA is filed under the name uncultured bacterium. RNAcentral's name for it is "partial 16S ribosomal RNA". It matches the Rfam family "Bacterial small subunit ribosomal RNA", at positions 29 to 507 of the family's 1533-position model. The record is from RNAcentral.